RNAcentral lists this microRNA precursor (113 nucleotides) under Pelodiscus sinensis (Chinese soft-shelled turtle). Its description in RNAcentral is "miRNA (ENSPSIG00000019404.1)". The record is from RNAcentral. Lineage: Eukaryota; Metazoa; Chordata; Testudines; Trionychidae.
GUCGCCUGGCUGGCUACCUCCUCUUCCUCUUCCUCCUCCUCCUCCUCCUCCACAACCCUGCCCUCAUGGAAGCUGACACCGGGCAUGUCCUGGCUGGACUUGAUGACGAUGGG